AGUGAACGCUGGCGGUAGGCCUAACACAUGCAAGUCGAACGGCAGCACAGUAAGAGCUUGCUCUUACGGGUGGCGAGUGGCGGACGGGUGAGGAAUACAUCGGAAUCUACUUUUUCGUGGGGGAUAACGUAGGGAAACUUACGCUAAUACCGCAUACGACCUACGGGUGAAAGCAGGGGAUCUUCGGACCUUGCGCGAUUGAAUGAGCCGAUGUCGGAUUAGCUAGUUGGCGGGGUAAAGGCCCACCAAGGCGACGAUCCGUAGCUGGUCUGAGAGGAUGAUCAGCCACACUGGAACUGAGACACGGUCCAGACUCCUACGGGAGGCAGCAGUGGGGAAUAUUGGAAAAUGGGCGCAAGCCUGAUCCAGCCAUACCGCGUGGGUGAAGAAGGCCGUCGGGUUGUAAAGCCCUUUUGUUGGGAAAGAAAAGCAGCAGGUUAAUACCCCGCUGUUCUGACGGUACCCAAAGAAUAAGCACCGGCUAACUUCG
Molecule: ribosomal RNA, 490 nt
Filed under: uncultured bacterium
Lineage: Bacteria
Description: partial 16S ribosomal RNA
Rfam family: Bacterial small subunit ribosomal RNA
Source: RNAcentral